CUGCCAAUCACCCCCUCCUCCAACUAGCACUGAGGCUAAGCACUUCCUGUGGUUUUUGGUUUCCCAUCAAUAAGACAAUUUCUGAAAGGCAAGAUUCCACCGUAAUGGAGCAGCAGUUGCUAUAUCCUGGAAAGUCUGUGUGCCUUGUGCUUUCUGUGGACGGUCUCCUUGCUUUCAUACUCAGUCCCAUGGAGGGGACAGACAGGCCUGACUGAACAGAUGAGGACUGUAACUACGGAGAGGUGGUUGACUGGUGAGGAGGAAGCAGGAUGCACCAAACUCUCCAUUGCUGAAUUUCCCAGCAACACAUCUUGCCCUUCCACCUGAAUCUGGUUUAUAAUUUAGUCCUGCAAGUCAGCCACAACUCAGCUGAUCAGUGCCUUAGAAACUGUUAGGAAUGGCUGCCUGAGGAUUUCUGAGGAAGCUUGCCCUGUGAUAGAAUCAUAGAGUGAAUACCACCGGCGAGGAAGAA
Molecule: long non-coding RNA, 472 nt
Filed under: Mus pahari (shrew mouse)
Lineage: Eukaryota; Metazoa; Chordata; Mammalia; Rodentia; Muridae
Description: lncRNA (MGP_PahariEiJ_G0002409.1)
Source: RNAcentral